GACCGUGUAGCUCAGUUGGCAGAGCAUUGGGCUGGUAUUCCAAAGGUCGUAGGUUCGAUUCCCACCGUGGUCA
RNAcentral lists this transfer RNA (73 nucleotides) under Paramuricea clavata. It matches the Rfam family "tRNA". From Rfam's summary of the family: Transfer RNA (tRNA) molecules are approximately 80 nucleotides in length. Their secondary structure includes four short double-helical elements and three loops (D, anti-codon, and T loops). Further hydrogen bonds mediate the characteristic L-shaped molecular structure. tRNAs have two regions of fundamental functional importance: the anti-codon, which is responsible for specific mRNA codon recognition, and the 3' end, to which the tRNAs corresponding amino acid is attached (by aminoacyl-tRNA synthetases). tRNAs cope with the degeneracy of the genetic code in two manners: having more than one tRNA (with a specific anti-codon) for a particular amino acid; and 'wobble' base-pairing, i.e. permitting non-standard base-pairing at the 3rd anti-codon position. The record is from Rfam by way of RNAcentral. Lineage: Eukaryota; Metazoa; Cnidaria; Anthozoa; Malacalcyonacea; Plexauridae.